This 786-nucleotide non-coding RNA is filed under the name Liatongus militaris. Lineage: Eukaryota; Metazoa; Arthropoda; Insecta; Coleoptera; Scarabaeidae. The record is from RNAcentral.
GAAAAAUUUGAUUUUGGUUUUAAAGUUUGAUUUAUAUUUUUAUUAUAUGUAAAUUUUUAUAUAAAAAAAUUUUUAAAUAAGAUUUUUAAAUUAAAUAGCAAUAAUUAAAUUUAUACAAAUAAAAGUAAUUUUGAUAUAGAAAUAUAUAAUAGUAUUGAUAAAAUUUGUGCCAGCAAUCGCGGUUAAACAAAUAAUACAAUUAAAUUUUUAUUUAAUAAUAGUUAAUAUAAAUAUUAUUAAUUAAAAAUUAAAUUUAUUAGGUGAAAUUAUAAAUUUAAAUAAAAUUAAAUAUUUAAAUUAUGAAGCUAUGAAAUUUUUAUAAUAAACUAGGAUUAGAUACCCUAUUAUAAAAAAUGUAAAUUUUAAUAUUAGGGGAGUAAUUGUUAUGUUCUUGAAAUUUAAAAAAUUUGGCGGUAUUUUAGUCUUUUCAGAGGAACCUGUUUUGUAAUUGAUAGUCCACGAUUAAUUUUACUUAAUUUAAAAGUUUAUAUAUCGUCGUAGAUUGAAUAUUUUAAAAGAAAAAAAUUUUCAAAAUUUUAUAAUUAAUAAAAGAAAUCAGAUCAAGGUGUAGCUUAUAAUUAAGUUUUAAUGGGUUACAAUAAAAUUAUUUAAAUGGUUAUAAUAUUUAAAAUUAUUAUAUAAAGUGGAUUUGAAAGUAAUAUAUUUAAUUUAAAAUAUAUGAUUUAAGCUCUAAAAUAUGCACAUAUCGCCCGUCGCUUUCACUGAAAAUUAAGGUGAAAUAAGUCGUAACAUAGUAGAUGUACCGGAAGGUGUUUCUGGGUUGAC